ACGAACGCUGGCGGCGUGCUUCACCCCUGCAAGUCGCACGGAAAGGCCCUGCUUUUGUGGGGUGCUCGAGUGGCGAACGGGUGAGUAACACGUGAGUAACCUGCCCUUGACUUUGGGAUAACUUCAGGAAACUGGGGCUAAUACCGGAUAGGAGCUCCUGCUGCAUGGUGGGGGUUGGAAAGUUUCGGCGGUUGGGGAUGGACUCGCGGCUUAUCAGCUUGUUGGUGGGGUAGUGGCUUACCAAGGCUUUGACGGGUAGCCGGCCUGAGAGGGUGACCGGCCACAUUGGGACUGAGAUACGGCCCAGACUCCUACGGGAGGCAGCAGUGGGGAAUAUUGCACAAUGGGCGGAAGCCUGAUGCAGCAACGCCGCGUGCGGGAUGACGGCCUUCGGGUUGUAAACCGCUUUCGCCUGUGACGAAGCGUGAGUGACGGUAAUGGGGAAAGAAGCACCGGCUAACUACGU
This 466-nucleotide ribosomal RNA is filed under the name uncultured bacterium. RNAcentral's name for it is "partial 16S ribosomal RNA". It matches the Rfam family "Bacterial small subunit ribosomal RNA", at positions 29 to 506 of the family's 1533-position model. The record is from RNAcentral.